AUCAGUCUUUGUGAUGACCUUCUUGUUCUCCAUAAAAGUAUUCCAUAUUCAUGAGUCACAGGGUUACCCUUCUAGCAGCCAGGAUGGCAGACAAGCAGAACAAAAAGAGGUCAUCAGGCAUUCGCGAGUGCCCAGUCUUUUCAUAUGUCUCUCAAGGCCUUAUGUUUGUUUUCACUUUGGCUAAGCACAACAAUCUGCUUGGGAAAAAAAAAAUCUGGAGAAAACAAAGGUGCCUUUGCCAAUAUUUAUGUUUCGCGUUGACAAGCCCUGAGAUUUCUGAGGGGAAUCCACUAUAAAUGGGAUCAGGUCAUUUGUCUAUGUUGUGUGCAAAUAUAAUUUAAAGAAACAACCUCCGCAGUGAGUAUGCUUUCCUAAGGGUAGGCAUUUGGAGGACUAAGGGCGAAACAUUCUUCAAGAUCAACUAGUCAGGUGAGGCGUUCUUAACAUUCUGAAAUGCCCUCGUUACAAACAUUGGGUAUAAUAAGUUUACACUUAAUGGAUAAACUCUAGAAAAUACAAUCUUUAACUUGUGGAUGGACAAAGUCUGCAAAGCAAAAGCAAAAGCUUUGGCUAAGUUUUCAUAUUUUCUGUGUGAUUUCACUAAAGAAUCUUGUUUGCUUUUUGGCAUAAACAAUCAUAGAAUAUUUCCAAGUCUCAUUUAAGAUGAGAGCCAAGCCACAAAUUCUUAGCUAUACCUUGGAUAAUUCUAAAAUUCAGGUGGGUGUUGUCUAAUUGAUUUGCAUAUAAUUUGUAUAUAUCUUUCCUAGAAUUUCAAACUUCAGGUAUGUGGAUUUAACUAAUUUGUGUGUGCUCAUCAAUUUAAUUAGAAUCCCUCAAAAAUACUAGUUUCCUAAAUUUUACAUAGUGAAGGUCGCAUAUUCAACAAGUUUAUCUACAUAUAUAAUUAUAGAUUAUUUCUCAAUAUAAUGUCUUCAUCCUAACAGAAUCAUCUUUGUGAGUUUUUUCAAACCACCAAAAACUUCAAUUUAUAGUUACUUGCUCCCUAAUGCAAUGAGGUUAAUCAUCCAGCAUUAAUUGUAUAACGUGAUCAUUUUUAUGUAUCUGAAGAUGCUUAACUUGAAGAAUUAAUGUUGGCCCCUUGUAUUUGUUCUGUACUUAGUCCGUGACUAUAAUUACUAAUUUAUGUCUAAAAAGUAUUUAUAUUUUUCUACUCAAUAUUUUAUAUAUAAUUGAUUAUGGAAACUAUAGCAAAUAUUAAGGAUUUCCAA
RNAcentral lists this long non-coding RNA (1229 nucleotides) under Lynx pardinus (Iberian lynx). The stretch from base 221 to 353 matches the Rfam family "Prostate-specific transcript 1". Lineage: Eukaryota; Metazoa; Chordata; Mammalia; Carnivora; Felidae. The record is from RNAcentral.